Molecule: ribosomal RNA, 256 nt
Filed under: uncultured bacterium
Lineage: Bacteria
Description: partial 16S ribosomal RNA
Rfam family: Bacterial small subunit ribosomal RNA
Source: RNAcentral
UACGUAGGGUGCGAGCGUUGUCCGGAAUUAUUGGGCGUAAAGAGCUCGUAGGCGGUGUGUCGCGUCGGCCGUGAAAACCUGGGGCUCAACUCUGGGCGUGCGGUCGAUACGGGCAUCACUUGAGUUCGGCAGGGGGAGACUGGAAUUCCUGGUGUAGCGGUGAAAUGCGCAGAUAUCAGGAGGAACACCGGUGGCGAAGGCGGGGUCUCUGGGCCGAUACUGACGCUGAGGAGCGAAAGCAUGGGUAGCGAACAGG